This 497-nucleotide ribosomal RNA is filed under the name uncultured bacterium. RNAcentral describes it as "partial 16S ribosomal RNA". It matches the Rfam family "Bacterial small subunit ribosomal RNA", at positions 28 to 507 of the family's 1533-position model. The record is from RNAcentral.
GAUGAACGCUGGCGGCGUGCCUAAUACAUGCAAGUCGAGCGAACAGACGAGGAGCUUGCUCCGCUGACGUUAGCGGCGGACGGGUGAGUAACACGUGGAUAACCUACCUAUAAGACUGGGAUAACUUCGGGAAACCGGAGCUAAUACCGGAUAAGAUGUUGAACCGCAUGGUUCAACAGUGAAAGACGGUUUUGCUGUCUCGUAUAGAUGGAUCCGCGUCGCAUUAGCUAGUUGGUAAGGUAACGGCUUACCAAGGCAACGAUGCGUAGCCGACCGGGGAGGGUGAUCGGCCACCCUGGAACGUAGCCGCGGUCCAGACGCCUACGGGAGGCAGCAGUAGGGAAUGUUCCGCAGUGGGCGGGAGCCUGACGGAGCAGCGCGGCGUGAGUUAAGGAGGUCUUGCGUUCGUAAAACUCUGUUAUUAGGUAAGAACAAAUGUGUAAGUAACUAUGCACGUCUUGACGGUACCUAAUCAGAAAGCCCCGGCUAACUACGUG